GUCUACGGCCAUGCCACCUUGAACAUGCCUGAUCCCGUCUGAUCUCGGAAGCUAAGCAGGGUCGGGCCUGGUUAGUACUUGGAUGGGAGACCACCUAGGAAGACCAGGUGCUGUAACUG
This 119-nucleotide ribosomal RNA is filed under the name Pteropus alecto (black flying fox). The record is from RNAcentral. Lineage: Eukaryota; Metazoa; Chordata; Mammalia; Chiroptera; Pteropodidae.